Molecule: ribosomal RNA, 526 nt
Filed under: uncultured bacterium
Lineage: Bacteria
Description: bacterial SSU rRNA
Rfam family: Bacterial small subunit ribosomal RNA
Source: RNAcentral
AAUAGAUACCCUGGUAGUCCACGCCGUAAACGAUGAGUGCUAAGUGUUAGAGGGUUUCCGCCCUUUAGUGCUGCAGCUAACGCAUUAAGCACUCCGCCUGGGGAGUACGGUCGCAAGACUGAAACUCAAAGGAAUUGACGGGGGCCCGCACAAGCGGUGGAGCAUGUGGUUUAAUUCGAAGCAACGCGAAGAACCUUACCAGGUCUUGACAUCCUCUGACAACUCUAGAGAUAGAGCGUUCCCCUUCGGGGGACAGAGUGACAGGUGGUGCAUGGUUGUCGUCAGCUCGUGUCGUGAGAUGUUGGGUUAAGUCCCGCAACGAGCGCAACCCUUGAUCUUAGUUGCCAGCAUUUAGUUGGGCACUCUAAGGUGGCUGCCGGUGACAAACCGGAGGAAGGUGGGGAUGACGUCAAAUCAUCAUGCCCCUUAUGACCUGGGCUACACACGUGCUACAAUGGAUGGUACAAAGGGCUGCAAGACCGCGAGGUCAAGCCAAUCCCAUAAAACCAUUCUCAGUUCGGAUUGU